GAUCAUGGCUCAGAACGAACGCUGGCGGCAUGGAUUAGGCAUGCAAGUCGAACGAAGCAGCAAUGCUUAGUGGCGGAAGGGUGAGGAACGCGUGAGUAAUCUGCCCUCAAGUUGGGAAUAACAGCUGGAAACGGCUGCUAAUACCGAAUGUGGCUGUUGGGUCGCAUGGUCUGACAGUUAAAGAUUUAUUGCUUGAGGAUGAGCUCGCGUCCCAUUAGCUAGUUGGCGGGGCAACGGCCCACCAAGGCGAUGAUGGGUAGCUGGUCUGAGAGGAUGGUCAGCCACACUGGGACUGAGACACUGCCCAGACUCCUACGGGAGGCUGCAGUCGAGAAUCUUGGGCAAUGCGCGAAAGCGUGACCCAGCCAAUGCCGCGUGCGUGAUGAAGGUCUUCGGAUUGUAAAGCGCUGUCAACCGGGACGAACUUAUGACGGUACCGGUGAAGGAAGCCACGGCUAACUACGUGCCAGCAGCGGC
Molecule: ribosomal RNA, 477 nt
Filed under: uncultured bacterium
Lineage: Bacteria
Description: bacterial SSU rRNA
Rfam family: Bacterial small subunit ribosomal RNA
Source: RNAcentral